CAAUAGCGUAUAUUAAAGUUGUUGCAGUUAAAAAGCUCGUAGUUGGAUUUCUGGUAGGAGUGACCGUUCCGAACUUGAUUGUUCGUGUAUUGUGUUUUCUCCAGCCAUCCUUGUGGAGAACUUUUCUUGCAUUAAUUUGUAGGGAUUGGGACCCGCAUCGUUUACUGUGAAAAACUUAGAGUGUUUAAAGCAGGCAAUCGCUUGAAUACAUUAGCAUGGAAUAAUAAGAUAGGACUUUGGUACUAUUUUGUUGGUUUGCAUACCAAAUUAAUGAUCAACAGGAACAGUUUGAGGAUAUUCGUAUGAACAUGUCAGAGGUGAAAUUCUUGGAUUUUGAUCAGACGAACUACUGCGAAAGCAUUUAUCAAGGAUGUUUUCAUUAA
Molecule: ribosomal RNA, 383 nt
Filed under: uncultured eukaryote
Lineage: Eukaryota
Description: partial 18S ribosomal RNA
Rfam family: Eukaryotic small subunit ribosomal RNA
Source: RNAcentral